GGCAUGCCGACGGUUCGAGCAGGAUGGACUAAAAUAAUCCACAUUAUUUGCUGUCAUCGUCCCCGAAGCUGGAUAUGAAAUCUACAGUUCAAAACAUGGAGCUGCUGCUUUGCCACCGUACGAGACACCAAUGCUAAUGCUGUUAGCACGGCUAGUAAACAGCUUGAAGGACUUCAGCGGUUCAGACUGAGGAGGGUUUCUCUGUCGCCUUGUUGUUUUGUUGUUUUUGGACGCACAGCUAUCAGUUUCUACUAUUUACGGAUUCCAACAGGACAAAUACAUAGGUCUAUCUCGGAAGUAAACAUCUCCCUGUGUCGCUAGCUUCCCAGUUAGCAGCUGUUAUUAGUGCCUCAGUAUUGAAGCAGCCUGUAAUUGUAACUGAAUGGGGUGGAGUUUCUUUUAGUUGUUUUGCCUUCCAGGCUCGCAGACUUUAGGUAUCUUUUCCCGGUUGAGGAAGGCGCUGUCAGUUAAAAUGGUGCUAAGGAGCUGCUGGAAGUCUCGACAUAAAAACACCUCUGGAUCUUCUCCUUGUUGGAUCCGACCGGGACUGGCCGCUCUGUUCUGGUUAUGCGUGACCCAGUUAGUGUGCGGCGGCGGGGCCGUGGGGGAGACCACCAACGUGGUCCAGAAAGACGCAGAGUUUGAUGUCACCUAUAAUGACACGGUCACAAGUGAAAACCAAACCAUCUAUGCUUUCAAUCACACGAUUUCCAGGAAUAAGACUGAGGGAGUCCGUGUGACUGUGGACGUGUUGUCACAGAAUCUGAAGAGUCCUAUCCUAUUUGUGGUGAGACAGCAGCAAGCAGUGCUGUCUUUUCAAGUCCCUUUAAUUCUCAGAGGCCUCUACCAGAGGAAAUACCCUUACAAUCAUGUGGGUCGAACGCUGUGCCAGCCUCCGACCCGGGCCAUCUCAGAAACCCAGCACUUUUUCAUCGACGUGUCCACCCUGUCCAGCCAGGGCACCAACUACCAGCUCCGAGUCAGCCGUGUUGAGAGCUUCACCCUGCAGACAGACAAGAAAUUCAGCUUCACCGCGUCACCCUCGCAACCCCAGUAUUUCAAGUACGUCUUUCCAGACGGGGUGGAUACUGUGAUCGUCAAAGUCAACUCGGCCAUGAACUUCCCCUGCUCGGUCAUGUCCAUCCAGGACAUCCAGUGUCCGGUUUAUGACCUUGACAACAACGUGGCCUUCAUUGGGAUGUACCAAACCAUGACCAAAAAAGGGGCCAUCACUGUGCAGAGAAAAGAUUUUCCCAGCAACAGUUUCUACGUGGUGGUGGUUGUAAAAACGGAGGACGAGGCGUGUGGAGGCCCGCUGCGCUUCUACCCGCUGCGCCCCGAUGAGCUCAUCGACGCAGGCAACCGCAGCAAGGUCGUCGACGUGGUCGUCUCUCCCGCCAUCAACUCGGAGGUGUAUGUGAUGGGCAUGCUGUUCUGUCUGGGCAUCUUCCUCUCCUUCUAUCUGCUGACCUUGAUGGUUGCCUGUCUCGAAAACAAGCGGAUGAAAAAGAGGAGAGAGGUGUUUGAGGAUCCUGCUGACACGUCGCCCGCUGAGACAGCCUCUCUGCUCGGGAAGAACGGAGAUGGCAAAACUCCAGCCUCUCCGUAUGAAUACGGCUCGUUUGCGGACAACGGCAGCACGUUGAGUUCAGAGGCCAUCACUGACAGCGCCACGUUCACCGACAACAACUAUGGAUACAUGGGACAGGAGCCUUUCAAACGUCGACCAAUCCUCAAUCAUCUUCACCACGUAGCCGUCCGCAUCGAGCGGUCCCUGGACAGCGUUGGGCGAAGCCGGCAAGAGUCUCUGAGCUCGGUGGAAGAGGACGACUACGACACUCUGGAUGACAUCAACUCGGACAAAAACAUCGUUCGCACCAAGAAAUUUCUGUGUGUGUCAGACCUGGCCCGCAAGGACAAGAGAGUCCUCAGCAAGAAAUACCAAAUCUACUUCUGGAACAUUGCUACGAUUGCUGUGUUCUACGCGCUGCCCGUCGUCCAGCUGGUCAUCACCUAUCAGACGGUCGUCAAUGUGACAGGAAAUCAGGACAUCUGUUACUACAACUUCCUGUGUGCCCACCCGCUCGGCGCUCUCAGCGCGUUCAACAACAUCCUCAGUAACCUCGGCUACGUGAUGCUCGGACUCCUCUUCCUCCUCAUCGUCCUCAAGAGAGACAUCGUCCACAAUCGGGCCAUGGUGCGCAACGAGCUCAACGCGCUGGAAUGCGGCAUCCCGAAGCACUUCGGUCUGUUUUAUGCGAUGGGGACGGCUCUGAUGAUGGAGGGCCUGCUCAGUGCCUGUUACCACGUGUGCCCAAACUACACCAACUUCCAGUUCGACACCUCCUUCAUGUACAUGAUUGCCGGUCUGUGUAUGUUGAAGCUGUAUCAGAAGAGACACCCGGACAUCAAUGCCAGCGCGUACACUGCCUACGCCUGCCUGGCUGCAGUUAUUUUCUUCUCUGUGCUGGGAGUGGUGUUCGGGAAAGACAACACCGUGUUCUGGAUCGUUUUCUCAGUGAUCCACAUCCUGGCCACGCUCCUCCUCAGCACGCAGCUCUACUACAUGGGCCGCUGGAGACUGGACGCCGGCGUCCUGCGCAGGAUGGUCUACAUCGUCUACACAGACUGCAUCCGGCAGUGCAGUGGACCCAUGUACAUCGACCGCAUGGUUCUGCUCGUGAUGGGAAACAUCGUCAACUGGUCUCUGGCGGCUUACGGCCUCAUCGAGAGACCCAACGACUUCGCCUCCUACCUGCUGGCCAUCGCCAUCUGCAACCUGCUGCUCUACUUUGCCUUUUACAUCAUAAUGAAGUUGCGGAGCGGCGAGAAAAUCAAGUGUCUGCCGCUGGUGUGUAUCCUCUUCACUGCUGUGGUUUGGGGCUUCGCGCUGUAUUUCUUCUUUCAAGGUCUCAGCACCUGGCAGAAAACUCCGGCUGAGUCCCGCGAGCACAACAGGGACUGCAUCCUGCUGUCGUUCUUUGACGACCACGAUAUCUGGCACUUUCUGUCCUCGAUCGCCAUGUUCGGAUCCUUCCUGGUCCUCCUGACCAUGGACGACGACCUCGACACGGUCCAGAGAGACAAGAUCUACGUCUUCUAGGUGUGCCAGACCUGCUGGGAGGAGCUCGGUCUCCUCUUCUCUGCCUUAUCGCCCUUCUCUCUCUCUCUCUCUCUCUCUCUCUCUCUCUCUCCGUUUUUCCUCUGUGGGUCUUUGAAUGGAAAAAAGAAAAGCACAGGCAGCAGCGACCCGUCUCCUCCCCGCUGCCUCAGUCAGCCGGCGGAGGGACGGUGGCGGCCUGCACGGACACUGGUGUGCCAAUGGAGAGCUGGGCAGAGCGAUGCUGAAGUGUUUCUGUCUUCUCGCUGCCAUCAUCGAUGUUUACUCACUGCUGAAGACGAAGAUAAUGUGCAAACAGUUCAAUUUAACUUAUUUUUUAAUGUGUGCAUCGACAUCGGACCUGUGAGCCAACGGUGUAUUUUGGGAAAUACUGUUUUUAUGCUGAGUGUGUGUGUGCGCGCCUGUAUUUGUACAGGUGUGU
Molecule: RNA transcript, 3542 nt
Organism: Salarias fasciatus (jewelled blenny)
Lineage: Eukaryota; Metazoa; Chordata; Actinopteri; Blenniiformes; Blenniidae
Gene: sidt2
Gene name: SID1 transmembrane family, member 2
Exons: 28
Source: RefSeq, a predicted model, not a curated record